GACGAACGCUGGCGGCGUGCCUAAUACAUGCAAGUUGAGCGCUGAAGGUUGGUACUUGUACCAACUGGAUGAGCAGCGAACGGGUGAGUAACGCGUGGGGAAUCUGCCUUUGAGCGGGGGACAACAUUUGGAAACGAAUGCUAAUACCGCAUAAAAACUUUAAACACAAGUUUUAAGUUUGAAAGAUGCAAUUGCAUCACUCAAAGAUGAUCCCGCGUUGUAUUAGCUAGUUGGUGAGGUAAAGGCUCACCAAGGCGAUGAUACAUAGCCGACCUAAGAGGGUGAUCGGCCACAUUGGGACUGAGACACGGCCCAAACUCCUACGGGAGGCAGCAGUAGGGAAUCUUCGGCAAUAGACGAAAGUCUGACCGAGCAACGCCGCGUGAGUGAAGAAGGUUUUCGGAUCGUAAAACUCUGUUGGUAGAGAAGAACGUUGGUGAGAGUGGAAAGCUCAUCAAGUGACGGUAACUACCCAGAAAGGGACGGCUAACUACGUG
Molecule: ribosomal RNA, 497 nt
Filed under: uncultured bacterium
Lineage: Bacteria
Description: partial 16S ribosomal RNA
Rfam family: Bacterial small subunit ribosomal RNA
Source: RNAcentral